RNAcentral lists this ribosomal RNA (305 nucleotides) under uncultured bacterium. RNAcentral describes it as "bacterial SSU rRNA". It matches the Rfam family "Bacterial small subunit ribosomal RNA", at positions 337 to 640 of the family's 1533-position model. The record is from RNAcentral.
ACCUACGGGACGCAGCAGUGAGGAAUAUUGGUCAAUGGGCGGGAGCCUGAACCAGCCAAGCCGCGUGAGGGAAGAAGGUACAGCGUAUCGUAAACCUCUUUUGUCAGGGAACAAAGGCGGGGACUAGUCCCCGGAUGAGGGUACCUGAAGAAAAAGCAUCGGCUAACUCCGUGCCAGCAGCCGCGGUAAUACGGAGGAUGCGAGCGUUAUCCGGAUUUAUUGGGUUUAAAGGGUGCGCAGGCGGCCUGUUAAGUCAGCGGUAAAAGCCCGGGGCUCAACCCCGGCGCGCCGUUGAAACUGGCGGG